This 253-nucleotide ribosomal RNA is filed under the name uncultured bacterium. RNAcentral's name for it is "partial 16S ribosomal RNA". It matches the Rfam family "Bacterial small subunit ribosomal RNA", at positions 524 to 776 of the family's 1533-position model. The record is from RNAcentral.
UACGAAGGGUGCAAACGUUGCUCGGAAUUAUUGGGCGUAAAGCGCACGUAGGCGGCAUCGCAAGUCGGAUGUGAAAUCCCUCGGCUUAACCAAGGAAGUGCAUCCGAAACUGCAGUGCUUGAGUACUUAAGAGGAUCGCGGAAUUCCCGGUGUAGAGGUGAAAUUCGUAGAUAUCGGGAGGAACACAAGUGGCGAAGGCGGCGAUCUGGGAAGAUACUGACGCUGAGGUGCGAAAGCGUAGGGAGCAAACAGG